GUAUGCCUACGGGGCGCAGCAGUGGGGAAUAUUGCACAAUGGAGGGAACUCUGAUGCAGCGACGCCGCGUGAGUGAAGAAGGAAUUCGUUAUGGAAAGCUCUAUCAGCAGGGAAGAAAGGGACGGUACCUGAAAAAGAAGCUCCGGCUAAAUACGAGCCAGCAGCCGCGGUAAUACGUAUGGAGCAAGCGUUAUCCGGAUUUACUGGGCGUAAAGGGAGAGUAGGUGGCAGAACAGGUGCGAAGUGAAAACCCAAAG
Molecule: ribosomal RNA, 257 nt
Filed under: uncultured bacterium
Lineage: Bacteria
Description: partial 16S ribosomal RNA
Rfam family: Bacterial small subunit ribosomal RNA
Source: RNAcentral